This 1782-nucleotide ribosomal RNA is filed under the name Capsicum annuum. RNAcentral describes it as "bacterial SSU rRNA". The stretch from base 2 to 1083 matches the Rfam family "Eukaryotic small subunit ribosomal RNA", at positions 4 to 1116 of the family's 1831-position model. Lineage: Eukaryota; Viridiplantae; Streptophyta; Magnoliopsida; Solanales; Solanaceae. The record is from RNAcentral.
CCUAGUUUAUCCUGCCAAUAGUCAUAUACUUGUCACAAAGAUUAAGCCAUGCAUGUGUAAGUAUGAGCAAAUUCAAACUGUGAAACUAUGAAUGGAUCAUUAAAUCUGUUAUAGUUUAUUUGAUGGUAUCUACUACUCAGAUAACAGUAGUAAUUCCAGAGCUAAUACGUGCAACAAACACCGACUUUCGAAAUGGAUGCAUUUAUUAGAUAAAAGGUAGACGCAGGCUCUGCCCAUUGCUGCGAUGAUUCGUGAUAACUCAACAGAUCGCACGACCAUCGUUCCAGCGAUGCAUCAUUUAAAUUUUUGUCUUAUCAAGUUUCAAUGGUAGGAUAGUGGCCUACCAUAGUGGUGCCGGGUGAUGAAGAAUUAGGGUUCGAUUAUGGAGAGGGAGCCUGAGAAAUGGCUACCACAUCCAAGGAAGGCAGCAGGCGCACAAAUUACCUAGUCCUGACAUAAGGAGGUAGUGACAAUAAAUAAUAAUAUUGGGCUCAAUGAGUCUGGUAAUUGGAAUGAGUACAAUCUAAAUCCCUUAACGAGGAUCCAUUGGAGAGAGAGUCUGGUGCAAGCAGCCGUGGUAAUUCUAGCACCAAUAGCGUAUAUUUAAGUUUUUGAAGUUAAAAAGAUCAAAGUUGGACUUUGGGAUUGGCCGACAGGUCCGCCUAUGGUGUGCAUUGGUCGUUUCGUCCUUUCUGUCGGUGAUGUACUCCUGCCCUGAACUGGCUGGGUCAUACCUCCGACGCUGUUACUUUGAAGAAAUUAGAGUGCUUAAAGCAAGCCUAUGCUUUGUAUACAUUAGCAUGGGAUCAUAUUAUAGGAUUUUGGUCCUAUUACAUUGGCCUUCGGGAUCAGAGUAGUGAUUAAUAGGGACAGUCGGAGGCAUUCGUAUUUCAUAGUUAGAGGUGAAAUUAUUGGAUAUAUGAAAUACGAACAACUAUGAAAGCAUUUUCCAAAUAUGUUUUCAUUAAUCAAGAAUGAAAGUUGGGGGCUCGAAGGAGGUCAAAUACCGUCCUAGUCUCAACCAUAAAUAAUGCCGACCAGGGAUCGGCGGAUGUUUCUGGUAAGCGCAAUUUAGGUUUGCUUGAAGUCAAUUUCCUAUGUUGCAUACAUAAUGGCCAGGCAUUAUCAAGUUUUAUCGAUUUUCUUUCACACCUCGCAUUUCAUGCAUGGGGUGAAUCAAAAGGCUGCCCUCGUGUCCCAGGCCUUUGAAGCUUCGUCGUGCGGUCAUGGUCCAUGAGCGGCGGUCAGGAUUCUCAGAUACGAUAGAUGCAGUGGCAUGGGGUCUUUAUCGACUCCUAUCUAUCCUGUAUGAUGUUCUUUUCAAACAAUGGUCGCGCUCACGUUGAAUCUGCCUGCGCCUGACAGGCAGGCCGGGCUCAUGCGACGUCGGCAUCGAUGAGGAAUGGUACCUGGUUGAUCCUGGCAGUAUUCAUGUACUUGUCUUUAAGAUUAAGCCAUGCAUGUGUAAGUAUGAAAAAAGUCAGACUGUGAAACUGCGAAUGGCUCAUUAAAUCAGUUAUAGUUUAUUUGAUAGUAUCUACUACUCCGAUAACCGUAGUAAUUCUAAAGCUAAUACGUGAAACAAACCCCGACUACUUAAAGGGAUGCAUUUAUUAGAUAAAAGUUUGAUGUAGGCUCUGCCCGUUGCUGCGAUGAUUGAUGAUAAAUAAAUGGAUCUUACGGCCAUCGUGCCGGUGACAUAUCAUUCAAAUUUCCAUCCUAUCAUGUUUUGAUGGUAGGAAAGUGGCCGUCUCAACCAUAAACGAUGCCGACCAGGGAUCG